UUGUUUCCUUGAUACAUGUAAAUCUAUAAUUUACUCUAUAUUUGGUACUUGAAGAGUUGAAUUUGUUUGCAAGCUAACACUAUUAAAGAUCCUUUGGUAUUGUCAAAGAUUCAUCAAAUCUAUCGAAUUGGUUAUAUAAAGGAUGUUAUUUUGCUAGGAGUAUUGGAUGAGGUAACUAUUGCAAGUCCCAGUGCCAUCAUUUAAGCAAAUAAUGCUACUGUUGUUUGUUGCUAAAAGAUGAUACUUUAUUCAAGAAUUAUUUGCAAGGAUGAAAUCGCCCUCCAUAUCUGAUGAAUCAAAGAGGAACUUGGACAAAUGGGCUAAGAACUUGUACCUUGCAUCAAUGUGCUAUACUGCUAUGGUCGUACUGUAUCUUGAUAUAUAUUUAAUUGGCUAAAACCUUCAUGAAGGUCUGACAGCAGGGUUUCUCCUGCUGCUUCUCAAGUUAUCUAGUACAUGGAGCCAUGCUUGAAAAAUUGGGAAUGGAAAGCUAGAGGCAGGCCGUUCUAAUCUUAUUUGAUGCCCUGCUUUGUAUAUUUUGGGUCUGCUUUAUGUUGACAAAAUACUUUGAAUUACCAUCAUAUAUCUAGUUCUGGUGGCCUGCCAAAUUAAAGAACAUACUCACCUUAUACUAGUUAUUUUUUUGCUUUGUCUGUGUUGCCAACUUUUGAAACUCUGAUGAAUCAUGGUUAGCUA
Long non-coding RNA from Dioscorea cayenensis subsp. rotundata (Guinea yam), 696 nucleotides. RefSeq lists it as uncharacterized. NCBI's taxonomy places the organism in Eukaryota, Viridiplantae, Streptophyta, Magnoliopsida, Dioscoreales, Dioscoreaceae. The record is from RefSeq and is a predicted model, not a curated record. The transcript is spliced from 4 exons.